Molecule: ribosomal RNA, 253 nt
Filed under: uncultured bacterium
Lineage: Bacteria
Description: partial 16S ribosomal RNA
Rfam family: Bacterial small subunit ribosomal RNA
Source: RNAcentral
UACGAAGGGGGCUAGCGUUGCUCGGAAUCACUGGGCGUAAAGGGUGCGUAGGCGGGUCUUUAAGUCAGGGGUGAAAUCCUGGAGCUCAACUCCAGAACUGCCUUUGAUACUGAGGAUCUUGAGUUCGGGAGAGGUGAGUGGAACUGCGAGUGUAGAGGUGAAAUUCGUAGAUAUUAGGAAGAACACCAGUGGCGAAGGCGGCUCACUGGCCCGGUACUGACGCUCAUGUGCGAAAGCGUGGGGAGCAAACAGG